CGGAGCAUGCGAUUAAUUCGAUGCAACGCGAAGAACCUUACCAAGGCUUGACAUACACCGGUAACGCCCAGAGAUGGGUGCCCCUUUGUGGUCGGUGUACAGGUGGUGGCAUGGUUGUCGUCAGCUCGUGUCGUGAGAUGUUGGGUUAAGUCCCGCAACGAGCGCAACCCUCGUCCUAUGUUGCCAGCGGGUCAUGCCGGGGACUCAUGGGAGACUGCCGGGGUCAACUCGGAGGAAGGUGGGGAUGACGUCAAAUCAUCAUGCCCCUUAUGUCUUGGGCUUCACGCAUGCUACAAUGGCCGGUACAAAGGGCUGCGAUACCGCGAGGUGGAGCGAAUCCCAGAAAGCCGGUCGUAGUCCGGAUCGCAGUCUGCAACUCGACUGCGUGAAGUCGGAAUCGCUAGUAAUCGCGGAUCAGCAUGUCGCGGUGAAUACGUUCCCGGGUCUU
Molecule: ribosomal RNA, 448 nt
Filed under: uncultured Cellulomonas sp.
Lineage: Bacteria; Bacillati; Actinomycetota; Actinomycetes; Micrococcales; Cellulomonadaceae
Description: bacterial SSU rRNA
Rfam family: Bacterial small subunit ribosomal RNA
Source: RNAcentral